Molecule: long non-coding RNA, 1417 nt
Filed under: Equus caballus (horse)
Lineage: Eukaryota; Metazoa; Chordata; Mammalia; Perissodactyla; Equidae
Description: lncRNA (ENSECAG00000054544.1)
Source: RNAcentral
CUAUUAGAAUGGCCAAAAUUGGAACACUGACAUCAGAUACUGGUGAGGAUGUGGAGCAACAGGAAUUCUCAUACAUUGCUGGUGGGAAUGCAAAAUGGUUCAGCCACCUUGGAAGACAGUUUGGCAGUUUCUCACAAAACGAAGUAUAUUCUUACCGUACGAUCCAGCAGUUGUGCUCCUUAGUAUUUAUUCAAAGGAGCUGAAAAGUUAUAUCCACAGAAAAGCCUGCAUGUGGAUGUUUAUAGAAGCUUUGUUCAUAAUUGCCAAAACUUGGAAGCAACCGGUUUGGUAGCACUGUGGAUUCUGGUCUGUCUUUGCCAAUCUGCGUGCUACCAUCUACUUUGCAGUCCUCAAAUGGCUGCUCUCUGCAUUCUCUCCAGGUUUUAUAGCUGCAUCAAGUGGGAUAAACAGGGCAUAGUUACCCCAUUUUACUUAAAACCAGAACCUCUUAUUUCUUUUAUAUCUUGCUAAAAAUAUAUCUCUGUAUUUAUUUACAGAGUCUCUUUUGUUAUUUUUACAACUGUUUUCCUUGAAAAAGCCUCCUCAACUGCUGAGUAACAGUAUUACCUUAGGUAGAGUGACCCAGAAGCAGAGAACGAGGCAGGGAUUCUUACUGAGGAGUGUUCUCAGGAGGAACCUCAAAGGAAGGAAGUGAAGCGAGCGGGAAAGGCAGGAGAAGCAGCUAAGCAAAGAGGUGGUGUCAGCAGAAGGCUCCCAUCAGCUUGAUUCCACCGAGAGCUCUAGAGCAAAGAUGGCACCACAGAGUUGUCUCCCUUGAGGCAAAGGAGUUGGUCUUUUGCUCUUUCAUACCAAUCAGUCAUUGGCUGUGUUGGCGGGUACAUAACCUCUUAGGCAUCGCUGGAUGAGGUGGCUCCCGUCAGCUGAGAACAAUUCUCUAGAGAAGAGUGCAGCUGUGAGCUGUUAGCAGCCAACACUCACAACUGCUAAAUAGAAGAUAAAUAGAGCUGAUCUUGGUUCUGGGCAAGAUGGAGCCAGCAGCUGGGGGAUGGGUGCACUAGACUGGUAAAGAAGCUCCGGGUGGGGCAUCAGCACCAUCAUUAUAAGGAUUAAUCACACAUUUCAGUAGUGAUAGUCACUGAAUGACACCAUUUCCUUCCAAAACACAGAGAACCACUAACUAGUGGCGGCAUUGCAGGAACCAUGCCUAAGCUGAAAUAAUUAGCCUCUAGAGCAAUUGUUCUCAACAUUUAGUGUGCAUGAGAAUCGCUUGGGGAACUUGUUACAGAUGCAGAUUCCAACACCAAUCAGAGAUUAUUACUCAACAGAUCUGCGACGGGAACUGCAUUUUAACAAGCACCUCCUCGAUUCACUUUGAGAUUAUGAUUUAUAAAUCUACGUUUUAAUGUUUAGUGCUUACUCACAUGACAUGUUUCAGUUAACAGUGGAAUAUCUGGGU